Molecule: small RNA, 125 nt
Filed under: Marmota monax (woodchuck)
Lineage: Eukaryota; Metazoa; Chordata; Mammalia; Rodentia; Sciuridae
Source: RNAcentral
GCUGGAUGUGGUGGUGCAGGCCUGUAAUCCCAUCUGCUUGGGAGGCUGAGACAGGAGAAUUGAGAGUUUAAAGCCAGCCUCAGCAAAAGCAAGGCACUAAGCAACUCAGUGAGACCUUGUCUCUA